MicroRNA precursor from Lupinus angustifolius (narrow-leaved blue lupine), 87 nucleotides. It matches the Rfam family "MIR397 microRNA precursor family". Lineage: Eukaryota; Viridiplantae; Streptophyta; Magnoliopsida; Fabales; Fabaceae. The record is from Rfam.
CGGAGAAACAUCAUUGAGUGCAGCGUUGAUGAAGUUUCGGGUAGAUGCCAAAUGAUUUUAUCAACGCUGCACUCAAUCAUGUUUUUU